CCCGCACAAGCGGUGGAGCAUGUGGUUUAAUUCGAUGAUACGCGAGGAACCUUACCUGGGCUCAAAUGUAUGUUGACGUAUUCUGAAAGGGAUACUUCUUCGGACAAUAUACAAGGUGCUGCAUGGUUGUCGUCAGCUCGUGCCGUGAGGUGUCGGGUUAAGUCCCAUAACGAGCGCAACCCCUAUCAUUAGUUGCCAUCAGGUCAAGCUGGGGACUCUAAUGAAACUGCCUACGCAAGUAGUGAGGAAGGUGGGGAUGACGUCAAGUCCUCAUGGCCUUUAUGACCAGGGCUACACACGUACUACAAUGGCCGAUACAAAGGGCAGCGACACUGCGAGGUGAAGCCAAUCCCGUAAAAUCGGUCUCAGUCCGGAUUGGAGUCUGCAACUCGACUCCAUGAAGUUGGAAUCGCUAGUAAUCGUGGAUCAGCAUGCCACGGUGAAUACGUUCCCGGGCCUU
This 460-nucleotide ribosomal RNA is filed under the name uncultured Cystobacterineae bacterium. Its description in RNAcentral is "bacterial SSU rRNA". It matches the Rfam family "Bacterial small subunit ribosomal RNA", at positions 920 to 1382 of the family's 1533-position model. The record is from RNAcentral. Lineage: Bacteria; Pseudomonadati; Myxococcota; Myxococcia; Myxococcales.